This 868-nucleotide ribosomal RNA is filed under the name uncultured Methanosaeta sp. RNAcentral's name for it is "bacterial SSU rRNA". It matches the Rfam family "Archaeal small subunit ribosomal RNA", at positions 4 to 877 of the family's 1478-position model. Lineage: Archaea; Methanobacteriati; Methanobacteriota; Methanomicrobia; Methanotrichales; Methanotrichaceae. The record is from RNAcentral.
CCGGUUGAUCCUGCCGGAGGUUACCGCUAUCGAGGUUCGACUAAGCCAUGCGAGUCGAAUGUAGCAAUACAUGGCGAACUGCUCAGUAACACGUGGACAACCUGCCCUUAGGUUGGGUAUAAACCCGGGAAACUGGGUAUAAUACCCGAUAGGUCUCGAUUGCUGGAAUGCAUCGAGAUUUAAAGCUCCGGCGCCUAAGGAUGGGUCUGCGGCCUAUCAGGUAGUAGUGGGUGUAGCGUACCUACUAGCCUACGACGGGUACGGGUUGUGAGAGCAAGAGCCCGGAGAUGGAUUCUGAGGCACGAAUCCAGGCCCUACGGGGCGCAGCAGGCGCGAAAACUUUACAAUGCUGGCAACAGCGAUAAGGGAACCUCGAGUGCCAGGUUACAAAUCUGGCUGUCGAGAUGCCUAAAAAGCAUUUCAUAGCAAGGGCCGGGCAAGACCGGUGCCAGCCGCCGCGGUAACACCGGCGGCUCGAGUGGUAACCGUUAUUAUUGGGUCUAAAGGGUCUGUAGCCGGCCGGAUAAGUCUCUUGAGAAAUCUGGCAGCUUAACUGUCAGGCUUUCAGGAGAUACUGUCUGGCUCGAGGCCGGGAGAGGUGAGAGGUACUUCAGGGGUAGGGGUGAAAUCUUGUAAUCCUUGAAGGACCACCAGUGGCGAAGGCGUCUCACCAGAACGGACCUGACGGCAAGGGACGAAGGCUAGGGGCACGAACCGGAUUAGAUACCCGGGUAGUCCUAGCCGUAAACGAUACUCGCUAGGUGUCGGCCACGGUGCGACCGUUGUCGGUGCCGUAGGGAAGCCGUGAAGCGAGCCACCUGGGAAGUACGGCCGCAAGGCUGAAACUUAAAGGAAUUGGCGGGAAUCU